UACGUAGGGGGCAAGCGUUAUCCGGAUUUACUGGGUGUAAAGGGAGCGUAGACGGCUAAUCAAGUCAGAAGUGAAAACCCAGGGCUCAACCUUGGGACUGCUUUUGAAACUGUAUGGCUAGAUUGCAGGAGAGGCAAGUGGAAUUCCUAGUGUAGCGGUGAAAUGCGUAGAUAUUAGGAGGAACACCAGUGGCGAAGGCGGCUUGCUGGACUGUAAAUGACGCUGAGGCUCGAAAGCGUGGGGAGCAAACAGG
Molecule: ribosomal RNA, 253 nt
Filed under: uncultured Coprococcus sp.
Lineage: Bacteria; Bacillati; Bacillota; Clostridia; Lachnospirales; Lachnospiraceae
Description: partial 16S ribosomal RNA
Rfam family: Bacterial small subunit ribosomal RNA
Source: RNAcentral